UGUCUACGGCCAUACCAUGCUGAAAACACCA
This 31-nucleotide ribosomal RNA is filed under the name Acropora pruinosa. Lineage: Eukaryota; Metazoa; Cnidaria; Anthozoa; Scleractinia; Acroporidae. The record is from RNAcentral.